RNAcentral lists this ribosomal RNA (253 nucleotides) under uncultured bacterium. RNAcentral describes it as "partial 16S ribosomal RNA". It matches the Rfam family "Bacterial small subunit ribosomal RNA", at positions 524 to 776 of the family's 1533-position model. The record is from RNAcentral.
UACAGAGGGUGCAAGCGUUAAUCGGAAUUACUGGGCGUAAAGCGUGCGUAGACGGUUACAUAAGUCGGGUGUGAAAGCCCCGGGCUCAACCUGGGAAUUGCAUUCGAGACUGCGUAGCUAGGGUGCGGAAGAGGGAAGCGGAAUUUCCGGUGUAGCGGUGAAAUGCGUAGAUAUCGGAAGGAACACCAGUGGCGAAAGCGGCUUCCUGGUCCAGCACCGACGUUCAGGCACGAAAGCGUGGGUAGCAAACAGG